Molecule: unclassified non-coding RNA, 371 nt
Filed under: uncultured fungus
Lineage: Eukaryota; Fungi
Description: partial contains small subunit ribosomal RNA, internal transcribed spacer 1, and 5.8S ribosomal RNA
Rfam family: Eukaryotic small subunit ribosomal RNA (bases 1-73)
Source: RNAcentral
UCAAACUUGGUCAUUUAGAGGAAGUAAAAGUCGUAACAAGGUUUCCGUAGGUGAACCUGCGGAAGGAUCAUUAUUGAAUUUACUUGUGAGCGCUGUGCUGGCCAGCAAUGGCACUGUGCACGCGUUUGCAUUUAAACAUUUUUUCUUCUUGUGAACCUUAUGUAGUCGUUGCGGAGGGCUUCAUUGCCCUGAGGAAGCUAGUCAGUAGUUUUGUGAAAGCAGAGCGAAAGCUAGUGGAGCCAACUGACUAUGAUUUAUAUACCUAUCUUUAAAACCUAGAAUGUUUUCUUACUCGACCGUAACAAGUCAGUAAAAUCUAUACAACUUUCAGCAACGGAUCUCUUGGCUCUCCCAUCGAUGAAGAACGCAGC